Ceratotherium simum simum (southern white rhinoceros) is the source of this 93-nucleotide non-coding RNA. Lineage: Eukaryota; Metazoa; Chordata; Mammalia; Perissodactyla; Rhinocerotidae. The record is from RefSeq and is a predicted model, not a curated record.
UUCUGUACAGACUGUAGCGUGCUCACCACCAAAGGUCUAGUUUCCAUUCGUCACCGUACAAUUGAUCUCCUUUACCCAUUUUGCCCUCCCCCC